GUCGAUUUUUCAAAUCAUUUCUAGAAAACUUCGUUAAUUUUGUAUCACUUAUCUCGUGUGAUGAAUAAAUAUCAACUCUGCAUAAACUCAGUGAUGCAAGUUGCGAUAACCUUCCAGUCUUUUUAUUAGGAUUCAUGUGCUGCGGUUUACUGAACUUUUCAUUGAAAGGGUACAAUUCGACGAUCCUCUGACGUAAGGGCGUUCCUAGAUUUCUACGUGAGCCCUGUCUUCCGUAUGACGCUAUGCUUUUCGGAGCUUUUGUGGAAGUAAGGAUACGCCCUUACGUUAGAGGAGCGCCGAAAUAAGAGAACUUUGUUGCUAUCAGAUUUGACUCGCUUUUUGGGCUGGCUCUUUUUCAACAAAUUUUCUAUCAACCAAAUUGAACAAAUUAUUUUCAUUUGAAAUAUGACAAUGAAAAUUGUAGAAAUAUAUAAAACUUGGUUUAAUGACGUCGUAGACUACACAAAAAAAUUGCUGGAUUUGAGACACAAAUUGAAGUGACUUGCAGAGAAGAGAGAGAGAAGUCGCUUCAAAGAAAAAUAUUAUUGGUUGGGAUGGAAUAGAUUCUAUAUCUUCUCCUUUUUUUUCUUGGAUGCACAUCUUGCUGUGGGAGGUGCUACCACGGAUAAAUGAGUGUGGUGAACUGAGCUCGAUGCGUAAAGCAUGGCCCCAUAAAGUGAAACUCCACGUCCACGUCAAGCCUUAUCGUCCAUUAGCCUCGUUUUACUUAAAUCUAUUACAGUCAUCUAAUCACAUCCUUUCAUUUAGAAUUUUUGUGGAGCUCAAUGGCUACAAGUCCACUUUGCAAGAUCAAUUUUUCAUUAUAUGUUUAAGCUUUCACACCAUAUUAUGUGUUAUGAUUUUGUAAAAGGAGUCUUUUAAAACCAAUUCGUAAUGAGUGACAAAGAACUUUUUACUAACAAUUAACUUAUUAGGUAUAACUUCUAUCAAAAAUGUUUGAAGGGGGCUUGAUGAAUAACAAAGGCUUUGCCUUUUGCUGUAAUCUCCUCAUAUUAGCGUUAAGUUUUUCUGAGGUCAAGAGCAGAGUUGAUUACUUUGAUGACGAUUACUUAGGUUUCAAGAUUACAGACCUCAAAGCCGACGUAGUCAAUUACCACCAAGCCCUGGAAAAGUUCGACAAGUCAAACAGUAGCUUCGACGCCUUAUCGGGGUGCCUCAGGUACUUCUUCAGAUACGUGGACCUGACGCGACCGGACGAACUGACAUCCUUCAUUUUCUCAUACUCCAAGCUGCGGCCGGACUUGUUUCCUUUGGUUCAAGAGAGGCGGAGCGCAAACGAAGGCCACGCUCAGCUAAAAUCGAACCUGUUGAUCAAGAGAAAGGACGGAACUUUCUUCCUGAUCUACCCAAACCGACCAAGCGUCGAUUUCAUGUCAGCGAGGCUGAAGCAAGAUGAGAACGGGCUUUGGGCCUACGAUGGGUUGAACGAACCAAUGAAGAAUUGGGUGUUGGUAACCAUGUACUGGCGCAAACAGUAUCCGCACGAAUAUUUCCGGAACGUGACGGUCGACUUUCGCUGGGAUAAGCUCGAUGAUGAUAAUAACUUUGCUACAAGGGUACAGGCCUUUGACAGGCCAAAGUUUGAAUAAGUUCUCCUCUGUACAAUCAAUGAAGAGGCACCAUAUCAACCAUUACAAUCAUGCACUAAAGAAGUUCAUAGACUUGAUUUAAGGAAAGUUUCAUUCCGAAGCAACUGAUAAAUAAGUUUGAUCCAAGUUUAAGAGAAGGACCAACGUAUGUUUGCACCUGUUGUGGAAACUUAUGUUUUUUGAAAAAGGUUAAAUCACUAGAGAGUGUUGCAGAUACAUUAGAUAAUAGUCAAAUAUCCCAUGAGUCAAUUUACUUUGUGACUAACACUAAUUACAUUUGUAUCAGAUGCCUUACGUACAUACAGAAAAGCAAACUUAAUCCAGUAGCCCUAGCUAAUGGCGACUUGAUUUUCCUCAAGUUCCGCAGUGUAUUUUAGAUUUAUCUCUUCUUGAGGAAAGGAUAGUAACUCCAGUUUUACCUUUCUUGCAAAUAAUAGAACUUAAACCUCAUUCCUUGAAUUCUCAGCUGGGAAUCAAAGGCUCAGUCGUUCAUAUACCCAUAAAUUUGAAUAAUAUUUUUCAGCAUAUUUUACCCCGUUCUUUUGAUCAUUUAUUUUUACUCACAUUAGAACUUAAACGAAACAUGAAUCAUUUGUCUAAUUAUCUCCAUGAAACUGUUCGUCCCCACAAGAUUUUACAAGCUUUGAAAUAUUUAAUCGAAACACCUUUAUACAAGAAACAUAACAUUACAAUCUCAAAAGAAUUAUUUGAAAGGUAUAACAAUUCAUCCAAUUUAUCUAUCUCUGCCGAAGAUCAAAUUAAUUUACGCAAUGCAAUUCUAAUUCCAAAUAAUAGCAAUGGUGAAAAUGAUACCUAUGAUGAGAAUGUAGAAAACAAUUGUACUUCAGAAGAAGGAAUAAAGUACUAGGGGGCUAUGCCCCUGACCGCUACGCGGCCCAACCCCCAGAGGGCGCAUCGCGCUGCUACUAGGCCCGCUUUGACAAAAGAACGACCCCCAAAAAAAUGAAAUGAUUUUCAUACUCGACUCUCAUAUGUCCAACCUCCCUCUGACCGGGAGCGAUUGAACCAAUUAGAAUCGAAUAGAGAAAUCGGCAUUUAUUUCAAACUUCUCGCAAAAACUGAAACGAAACGGAAUAAAGCGUAUGGCGUAAGCGUGGAUAGUCUGUGCCAAAGGAGCAUACCUUCUAUUCACCUAUCUUACCCUACUAACAGACCAUGAUUCUGCAUUUCCCGCUUAGUUUAAAUUUCCGCUAAAUUUGAAAUUCCCGCCAUUUUUAAUUGGCGGGAAUUUCAAAUUUUGCCCCCCUUUCUGAGCUUUCUGGUCUCCUCUUAUAUAAAAAACCUGAGUCCUAUUUUCAAAUUCUGAUUAAAGCGGGCUCAUCUAGGGCCUAUCACCUAUCGAUUACCGCAAAAAUCAUGGGAAUCGGCCCGGUAGAACUCUCAAACGAACUAUGACAAAAAAUAUAAAUUUACAUUGUUUAAAUGGGAAAAUUCGCAACUUUAACAUGUAAUAUAAAAAAAACUGGGUCAUAUUCUGAAAAUCUGAACAAAACGGGCUCAUCUAGAGACAAUUUCCCGUCAAUGGCCGCAAAAAUCAUGAAAAUCGGCCCGGUAAGCGUCACCAGUUAUGCAAGAUUAGGAGGCCUUGGAGCUUAUAUAUAUGAUGACUAGCUGCUCCGGGCGCCCUACGGGCGCCCUCCACAGCUAGCAAUAGUGGUGCAGUAGCUUGAUUGGAAUCGGAGCAAUUAGUUGAAUCUUUUUCAUAAUGAUUAUUCUGUGGCAGACAAUGAAUGACUUUAACUGCCUCUCUGCGUUACAGGGUGGAGACUGCCGUCCUACCAAAAAUGUGAUAAAAAGCCCGCAUUAUCAUUUUUUUUUUUUUUUUUUUUGUUACGUUUUAAUCAACAAAACCGACAAAACCGAUCAACGUAGUCGACCGACCAACAAAGUAAAGAGAGAGGAAGAAACAAAUACCAAGCAAAUUUGAAAUAAAAUUAGAAAGAGAAAAGAACAUAGAUGAAUAAAAUGUCUGUAACUAUACGUGUUGUUAGCAAUUGCAGUUAAAAGGUAUCAAAAAGCGGUAAAGCGGAGCGGCCGAGGGAUUGCGAAGAAAUGUGGGUGGCGAGUGACGACCUGACGAACGACGAUGCGACCCAAACCACCUUCUUUGAGGUUGGUGGGAGGAAAGCUAGACGAAAGAAAACGGAGAUAGCCGAAAGAACGUGGUGGGAGGGUGGCUGAGACCCUAGAGGGGGGGUAUCUAGGGAAGGGCAAGCAGGUAGCGGCCGGACGACCGCUGGAAACAGCUGAACUUUACUCGUCGAUAAAAGUAAGAAAAUUUGAGAAAAUCGAAAAAACAAUUGCAGCCUGCAAAUCUACAGAUCAGAAGCUUUCAUUUAAAAAAACCCAUGCAAAUCGGUCCAGUGGUUCUCUCAAAGUUAAUGUCCCAAAAUUCGGACUUUAUUCUGAAUUAAUGGGAGAAAAUUUGAGCCCAGCUAAACUUCAUUCGUCGAUAAGAGUAAGAAAAUUUGAGAAAAUCGAAAAAACAAUCACAUCCUGCAAAUCUACAGAUCAUAGGCUUUCAUUUAAAACAAAAAUCAUGUAAAUCGGUCCGGUGGUUCUCUCAAAGUUAACGUCCAAAGAUUCGGAUCUCAGUUUUAAUACAUCGGAGAAAAUUUGAGAAAAUUAUAGGAGAAAAUUUGAGAAAAUCGAAAAACAAAUGACAGCCUGCAAAUCUACAGCUCAGGGGCUUUCAUUUAAAAAAAAGAUCAGGCAAAUCGGUCCGGUGGUUCUCUCAAAGUUAAUGCCCCAAGAUUCGGAACUUUGCAUUUUAAUAUAUAUAGGAUGACUCUAUACAAGAAGAAUUAUCAUCUCAAAAUGAAAUAAUGUUCUUGAAUUUGACAAUGUAAUUGAAGAAAAUGUGGAUGAAUUGUUAAUUUUUGACCAUAAUGAAUCUAUCGCAAAUAGGGCAAAAAUAUGUAUAGCUCCUGGUGAAAAAGAAAAACCUAUAUCUUUAAACAAACCAGACUUAGAUGAAUUAGCUCAUCCUAAAAUGUAGGCUGGAAAAUCAUAUCAAUUAAAAUCGGACAUAUAUUAUCAUGAACGUGUUAAAUCAGAACUGUUAAGAUAUGAUAGAAGGUCAUGUAUCCCCCGUAAAAUACUAUACAUGGCAAAAAACAAACAGAAUUACUACUGUUUUCUAAAAUCAACAUUGCAGUUCGAAAAUGUAUGACUUUUAAUUUGAAAGCAUCAGAAGCAGUGUCAGAAGAAUAUUUAAAAACUCUUUUCGAUAAAAAUUCUGCAUACGCUUUUUUAGAAGAUAUAAGGUUAACACCUGCAUACUGGGAAAAAAAUAAAAACAAGAAGAAACAUCCAACAUGAAUAUGUUGGAAAAGCGUGCCGAAUAAUUGAAAUCUAGUGUGUGCACUAUUUCCAUUUCAACGAGAUGUGUAUAAAUUAGUACUCUCUGCAAAUUGGGGAGGAAUUAUUGAUUUGAUACCGUUGAAUGUAAAUACAUUUUAUUGAAAAUACAUUUUAUUGAAUAAAGAAAGUAACAUAAUUAUAUUGGAUGAACAAAGAAAAUAACAUCAUAAAUCAUUUAACUGAAUUGGUUCAUUCAGAAUUUCAAAUUAAAGUUUGGAAAUUGUUCAGUUUGUUGCGUCAUGUUGGAGAUUGCUCAGUUUGCAGCAGCAGAGUAUGGAGUUUACUCUGUUUAAUGAGUCAAACUUUGUCUUUUCUCUUUUCUUCGAUUGAUUUGUAUUAAAAUGAGACUUUAAGGUAUCUUUUCUGGAAAUAAAAAAAAAAAACGUGACAAAAAAAAAAAAAAAAAAAUGCAACUUACACUCAGAGAAUCAACAAGGGAACCUAACCUCCAAAACUCUGCCUUCCAAUUGGUCGAAUUGGAGAUUGCUCACUUCGCUGCAGUUGUAACUAUGGAGAUGCAGCCAACUUGGGUUAACCGCUUUUGAAAAGACGCUGAUUCGCUAAAUAGUUAUGGCGGCAUUUAAACUUCUAAUUUAAAUCCUCCGAGCGUAGAAAAGCUUAUUUGACGUACCUAUGAAAGAAAAUAAUACGGUUUCCACGGGAAAAUGUUCUCAAGGGUUUCCAGUAACAGGAUAAUUCGGUUUCUCGAUGAAUGACCUUCAGGGCUUGACACUAUAACGGUUCAAAAACGGAAGAACGGAUCCGACGGAAAAAAAUUCGGACCGCCCCUUGAAAAGCAUUGGUCGAUCGGUGUGCUGUACUACAGUACAUCCGAGUGAUUUCAAAAAGCGAGCCCUAUAGGCACGCUUAAAAAAUCUUAUGGCAAUGAUUCGACAACUGGGCCCUCCAACUCUUUUUUUGACUUUAUCUGCUGCUGAAAAAAUUGGCCAGAGCUAAUUGUCAUACUUUAUUCCAAUUUUCACCACAAGCAAAUUACACUAGAAGAGGCAAAUAAUUUAUCUAAUAAUGAAAAAAUAAGUCUUAUCAAAAUGACCCAGUCAUAUGCGCUCAUAUUUUCAUCAUAAAAUAAACAGUCUAUUUCACACUAUUUUAUUAAAUAAAAU
This 6118-nucleotide long non-coding RNA is filed under the name Bemisia tabaci. RNAcentral's name for it is "lncRNA ENSSSA2NGG006913". Lineage: Eukaryota; Metazoa; Arthropoda; Insecta; Hemiptera; Aleyrodidae. The record is from RNAcentral.